GAUGAACGCUGGCGGCGUGCUUAACACAUGCAAGUCGAACGGUGAAGGGACUGGUUUUGCUGGUCCUGGAUGAGUGGCGAACGGGUGAGUAACACGUGAGUAACCUGCCCCCUUCUUCUGGAUAACCGCAUGAAAGUGUGGCUAAUACGGGAUAUUCUGGGUCUGUCGCAUGGUGGGCCUGGGAAAGAUUGCGCCUUUUUUGGUGUUUUUGGUGGGGGAUGGGCUCGCGGCCUAUCAGCUUGUUGGUGGGGUGAUGGCCUACCAAGGCGGUGACGGGUAGCCGGCCUGAGAGGGUGGACGGUCACACUGGGACUGAGACACGGCCCAGACUCCUACGGGAGGCAGCAGUGGGGAAUAUUGCACAAUGGGCGCAAGCCUGAUGCAGCGACGCCGCGUGAGGGAUGGAGGCCUUCGGGUUGUGAACCUCUUUCGCCAGUGAAGCAGGCCUGCCUCUUUUUGUGGGUGGGUUGACGGUAGCUGGAUAAGAAGCGCCGGCUAACUACGUG
RNAcentral lists this ribosomal RNA (506 nucleotides) under uncultured bacterium. RNAcentral describes it as "partial 16S ribosomal RNA". It matches the Rfam family "Bacterial small subunit ribosomal RNA", at positions 28 to 507 of the family's 1533-position model. The record is from RNAcentral.